Molecule: ribosomal RNA, 496 nt
Filed under: uncultured bacterium
Lineage: Bacteria
Description: bacterial SSU rRNA
Rfam family: Bacterial small subunit ribosomal RNA
Source: RNAcentral
GAUGAACGCUAGCGGCAGGCCUAAUACAUGCAAGACGAACGGUAAGUUGAGUAGCAAUACUUAGCCAAGAGUGUCGUACGGGUGCGUAACACGUAUGCAACCUACCCUAUACAGGAGGAUAGCCUAGGGAAACCUGGAUUAACCCUUCAUAGUAUUAUUGGAUGGCAUCAUUUGAUAAUUAAAACUGAGGUGGUAUAGGAUGGGCAUGCGUCUGAUUAGUUAGUUGGCGGGGUAAUGGCCCACCAAGACGAUGAUCAGUAGGGGUUCUGAGAGGAAGAUCCCCCACACUGGCACUGAGAUACGGGCCAGACUCCUACGGGAGCAGCAGUAGGGAAUAUUGGGUCAAUGGAUGCAAGUCUGAACCAGCCAUGCCGCGUGCAGGAAGAUGGCCUUCUGGGUUGUAAACUGCUUUUGCCAGGGGAUAAAAUUUCCAUGCGUGGAAAAACUGGAAGGUACCUGGUGAAUAAGCCACGGCUAACUACGUGCCAGCAGCCGC